AUGGAGGCCCACCAACGUCUACAAGAAGGUUGUGUAGUAGACAUCAGUUCUUCACUUCUGGCCCCUCUCAUCGAUCUUCGACGACGCGCCCAAUCAUGGGCCCGCGCGGACAAAGUUGUGCGUUGGAAUUUUGAACAUCACAAACCACCCUUUUCACUCAUAUAUAUUUGGACCACAUGCUGGUGUGGUUGCCUUCUGACCCUCUCUAAGAUUUUUUUUGCUGCAAAGACUCUGAUAACGCUCAACAGACACAGGUAUAAUGUCUUAACUGUGCGUGAUGCAAGUGCGCUUGAAUCACCACGACUACGCAAGCGCGAGCAAAGGUGGAUGUACUGGCUCAACCGUGUGCGAUGCAAGUGCGCUGUAAAAUCACCACAACUACGCAAGCGCAAGCCUAUUCAAGUGCGUUGUAAAAUCACCACGACUGCUCAAGCACGAGCAAAGGUGGAGGUACUGUGUUAA
Molecule: ribosomal RNA, 462 nt
Filed under: Triticum aestivum (bread wheat)
Lineage: Eukaryota; Viridiplantae; Streptophyta; Magnoliopsida; Poales; Poaceae
Description: partial small subunit ribosomal RNA
Source: RNAcentral